CAGUCGAACGAAGCACCUUAUUUGAUUUUCUUCGGAACUGAAGAUUUGGUGACCCAUUGACGGACGGGUGAGUAACGCGUGGGUAACCUGCCCUGUACAGGGGGAUAACAGUUAGAAAUGACUGCUAAUACCGCAUAAGACCACAGCACCGCAUGGUGCAGGGGUAAAAACUCCGGUGGUACAGGAUGGACCCGCGUCUGGUUAGCUGGUUGGUGAGGUAACGGCUCACCAAGGCGACGAUCAGUAGCCGGCUUGAGAGAGUGAACGGCCACAUUGGGACUGAGACACGGCCCAAACUCCUACGGGAGGCAGCAGUGGGGAAUAUUGCACAAUGGGGGGAACCCUGAUGCAGCGACGCCGCGUGAGUGAAGAAGUAUUUCGGUAUGUAAAGCUCUAUCAGCAGGGAAGAAAAUGACGGUACCUGACUAAGAAGCCCCGGCUAACUACGUGCCAGCAGCCGCGGUAAUACGUAGGGGGCAAGCGUUAUCCGGAAUUACUGGGUGUAAAGGGUGCGUAGGUGGUAUGGCAAGUCAGAAGUGAAAACCCAGGGCUUAACUCUGGGACUGCUUUUGAAACUGUCAGACUGGAGUGCAGGAGAGGUAAGCGGAAUUCCUAGUGUAGCGGUGAAAUGCGUAGAUAUUAGGAGGAACAUCAGUGGCGAAGGCGGCUUACUGGACUGAAACUGACACUGAGGCACGAAAGC
Molecule: ribosomal RNA, 703 nt
Filed under: uncultured bacterium
Lineage: Bacteria
Description: bacterial SSU rRNA
Rfam family: Bacterial small subunit ribosomal RNA
Source: RNAcentral